GGCUCUAUGCUGCAAUCUCUGGGGAGGAGGAAGUCUUACUGUGCUCUCUCUGCAUAGUGAACAACGAGGACAUGGAAGGUUCGUUCACACAAGCGUCUGCAUCUGUGUUUCCAUGAAUAAGAGCGAAGCACAACUGUCGGACCGCAGAUCAUUCCAGAAGUCAAUCAAGCAAGGAGUUUUCAAACACACCACAAAGUGGGCAGAAUUUUCCAGUGAACCUCUGGGGUCUGCCUGGCACCUGAAUCGCCAGUGCUGGGUUAUCCAGUAUGCACGUGAGGAACAGCAUUCUGGAUUGGUCUUCAGCUCCAUUUGUGAGUCACCCGACAGUGCCCAGCAUGCUGCUUGUUAUUAGUUGAGUCAUCUGGAUGGAGGCUGAUUAUCCACUAUGCCCGAGGCAGGGAUAAGUGAUGAGCAACUAAUCAAGGGCAGAUUCCAAAGAAGCCAAACAAAGAGUCCUUUGUAUGCUGUGCGUGUUGUUACUGGUAAACGCUCUGCAUAUUUAUGAUCAACAAUCACCUGGUGGUAAAAGUUUGAAAAGCUCUCAAGAUGUCAAGUAUAUCAAGCAAAGAUUUCUUAGAAUUCUUUUUCCUCCCUUAAUUUUGCUCUCCCUUUGCUUUUCACCCCUACUGGGUAAUAGAAUGGGAGGAAACCCACACGGUGCAUAAAGGAACGUUUACUCUCACAUGUAUUGGCCAAAGAAUCCCAGGUGUACUUCAGCUUCUACUCCAACAAUACUCACUCCUGCAGCAGCCAUUUGAACUUGGGGGCCACAUUUGUAGUCGUCUCAACCUUUUUCUUUUUAGAAAACCGACAUCAUCAAUCUUACUAAAAUACCUAGGCAUAUCUCAAGGAUUACACACACCACGACCCACAGCUGUGAGAGCCAUUGCCUGCCUUUCAGUGCAAUUAUUAGUUAGGAAUAAACAAAGAUUUUUAAGAGCUGAAUUGUGUCCCCCCCCCCCAAAAAAAAAGAUGUAUUGAAGUCCUAAUCCCCAGUACCUCAGAAUGUGCCUCACAUGGAAACAGGGUCUUUGUAGAUUUAAACAAGUUAAGAUGAGAUCCUUCGAGUGGGCGUUAAUCCAAUAUGACCUGUGUCUUUAUAAAAUGGGGAAAUUUGGACAUAAAGGCAGAUACAAACUUUGGGAAAAUGUCAAGUGAAAAAGAGAUCAGGUGGUGUAUCAGCAAAGCACUAGAAGCUCGAGAAAAGGAUGGGACAGAUUCUCCCUCACGGCCCUCAAAGGAUGCAACUCUA
This is a long non-coding RNA of Neofelis nebulosa (Clouded leopard), 1252 nucleotides long. RefSeq lists it as uncharacterized. Lineage: Eukaryota; Metazoa; Chordata; Mammalia; Carnivora; Felidae. The record is from RefSeq and is a predicted model, not a curated record. The transcript is spliced from 2 exons.